AACGUCGCCCUUUAGGGUGGGGGNCCACAGUUGGNAACGACUGCUAAAUACCGCAUAAUGUCUACGGACCAAAGGGUGGCUUCGGCUCUCGCCUUUAGAUUGGCCCAAGUGGGAUUAGCUAGUUGGUGAGGUAAUGGCUCACCAAGGCGACGAUCCCUAGCUGGUUUGAGAGGAUGAUCAGCCACACUGGGACUGAGACACGGCCCAGACUCCUACGGGAGGCAGCAGUGGGGAAUAUUGCACAAUGGGCGCAAGCCUGAUGCAGCCAUGCCGCGUGUGUGAAGAAGGCCUUCGGGUUGUAAAGCACUUUCAGUCAGGAGGAAAGGUUAGUAGUUAAUACCUGCUAGGUGUGACGUUACUGACAGAAGAAGCACCGGCUAACUCCGUGCCAGCAGCCGCGGUAAUACGGAGGGUGCGAGCGUUAAUCGGAAUUACUGGGCGUAAAGCGUACGCAGGCGGUUUGUUAAGCGAGAUGUGAAAGCCCCGGGCUCAACCUGGGAACUGCAUUUCGAACUGGCAAACUAGAGUGUGAUAGAGGGUGGUAGAAUUUCAGGUGUAGCGGUGAAAUGCGUAGAGAUCUGAAGGAAUACCGAUGGCGAAGGCAGCCACCUGGGUCAACACUGACGCUCAUGUACGAAAGCGUGGGGAGCAAAACGGGAUUAGAUACCCCGGUAGUCCACGCCGUAAACGAUGUCUACUAGAAGCUCGGAGCCUCGGUUCUGUUUUUCAAAGCUAACCGCAUUUAAGUAGACCGCCUGGGGAGUACGGCCGCAAGGGUUAAAACUCAAAAUGAANUUGACGGGGGGCCCGCCACCAAGCCGGUGGGAGCCAAUGUGGUUUAAUUCGUUGCAACGCGAAGAACCUUACCUACACUUGACAUACAGAGAAC
RNAcentral lists this ribosomal RNA (889 nucleotides) under uncultured Pseudoalteromonas sp. Its description in RNAcentral is "bacterial SSU rRNA". It matches the Rfam family "Bacterial small subunit ribosomal RNA", at positions 123 to 996 of the family's 1533-position model. The record is from RNAcentral. Lineage: Bacteria; Pseudomonadati; Pseudomonadota; Gammaproteobacteria; Alteromonadales; Pseudoalteromonadaceae.